AGGGGUGCCCUGUUGCCCUCCAAACGAUCUUCCAGGGCGUUAUCGAGGAAGUUGCGAGUAGCGACCACGUCCGGUCGAAAAGGGGGAAGCUGUGGUGUUGGUACGACGGGAUGGGAAACAGUGUACACCGGCA
Molecule: non-coding RNA, 133 nt
Filed under: Craspedostauros australis
Lineage: Eukaryota; Bacillariophyta; Bacillariophyceae; Mastogloiales; Achnanthaceae
Source: RNAcentral